ACGAACGCUGGCGGCGUGCUUAACACAUGCCAGUCGAACGGAAAGGCCCUGCUUGCCGGGUACUCGAGUGGCGAACGGGUGAGUAACACGUGGGUGAUCUGCCCUGCACUUCGGGAUAAGCUUGGGAAACUGGGUCUAAUACCGGAUAGGAGCCAUCUUUAGUGUGGUGGUUGGAAAGUUUUUUCGGUGUAGGAUGAGCUCGCGGCCUAUCAGCUUGUUGGUGGGGUAAUGGCCUACCAAGGCGGCGACGGGUAGCCGGCCUGAGAGGGUGUACGGCCACAUUGGGACUGAGAUACGGCCCAGACUCCUACGGGAGGCAGCAGUGGGGAAUAUUGCACAAUGGGCGCAAGCCUGAUGCAGCGACGCCGCGUGGGGGAUGAAGGCCUUCGGGUUGUAAACUCCUUUCGCUAGGGACGAAGCUUUUUUGUGACGGUACCUAGAUAAGAAGCACCGGCUAACUACGUGC
RNAcentral lists this ribosomal RNA (466 nucleotides) under uncultured bacterium. RNAcentral describes it as "partial 16S ribosomal RNA". It matches the Rfam family "Bacterial small subunit ribosomal RNA", at positions 29 to 508 of the family's 1533-position model. The record is from RNAcentral.